This 433-nucleotide ribosomal RNA is filed under the name uncultured bacterium. RNAcentral describes it as "partial 16S ribosomal RNA". It matches the Rfam family "Bacterial small subunit ribosomal RNA", at positions 29 to 507 of the family's 1533-position model. The record is from RNAcentral.
AACGAACGCUGGCGGCAUGCCUAACACAUGCAAGUCGAACGAGACCUUCGGGUCUAGUGGCGCACGGGUGCGUAACGCGGGGGAACCUGCCCUUAGGCUCGGAAUAACUCCCCGAAAGGGGUGCUAAUACCGGAUAAUGUCUUCGGACCAAAGAUUUAUCGCCUUUGGAUGGGCCCGCGUUGGAUUAGCUAGUUGGUAGUGUAAAAGCCUGCCAAGGCGACGAUCCAUAGCUGGUCUGAGAGGAUGAUCAGCCACACUGGGACUGAGACACGGCCCAGACUCCUACGCGAGGCAGCAGUGGGGAAUAUUGGACUACCGGCGAAAUCCUGAUCCAGCACUGCCGCGUGAGUGAUGAAGGCCUUAGGGUUGUAAAGCUCUUUUACCCGGGAUGAUAAUGACAGUACCGGGAGAAUAAGCUCCGGCUAACUCCGUG